Long non-coding RNA from Cyprinus carpio (common carp), 366 nucleotides. RefSeq lists it as uncharacterized. Lineage: Eukaryota; Metazoa; Chordata; Actinopteri; Cypriniformes; Cyprinidae. The record is from RefSeq and is a predicted model, not a curated record. The transcript is spliced from 2 exons.
AACAGAUCAUACUCGUAAUGAAGAGCUCACUUACGCUGAUCCAACGUUCUACAAACGAAAAGCACAGAAAUCGGAAGUCAAGCCGGAGGAAGAUGUGGUGUAUGCAGGCGUCGUCAUCAGAAGUUGAUCAAACACUUCAUUUAUGACAUUGCGAUCCCAUUCAGAACUGUUUACUCCAGAAUAUAAAGAAUUAUAAAGCUGUUUUUCUGCCAUUUUUUUUUCAUGUUUUUAUUGUACAGAAAGCAUGCACACACAUAUGAUGUCAUAAAGAUGGAAGUCACUGCAGCAGUGUUACAACAUUAGUGUCCAGCUUGAAACUAAUCAUUAUGUAUGUUAAAUUUUUUAAUAAAAUCAGACCCUGGGUUA